This 551-nucleotide unclassified non-coding RNA is filed under the name Hevea brasiliensis (rubber tree). The record is from RNAcentral. Lineage: Eukaryota; Viridiplantae; Streptophyta; Magnoliopsida; Malpighiales; Euphorbiaceae.
AUGAUGUUGAUUUUAUAGAUGAUAGUGCAGAUGUAAGAGAAAAGAGCAGGAAGAAUUCAGGUGUGAGAAGGAGGAGGUUCGCCGUAUAUUCAGAUUCAGAUUUUAUGCCUUCUGGAUCAUCUGAUUAUGAAUUUACAGUCUCAGAUGAAGAGAGAGAGCAGGUGAGAGAAGCCAGUGAGUUGUACGGAGAACUAAGGACUAGUUUGAGGAGUUCAUCGUCUAUACAGAAAUUUCAGGAGAAUGGGGAUUUAUGUCAACAAGGCAAACCCAUUGCAAGAAAAGGUAAGGAGAAGGUAAAGGAAGUAAUAGCUGAGGUGGGAAAGCAGGUGUGUGGAAUUUGCCUCUCAGAAGAGGAUAAAAGAAGAUUGCGGGGAACACUGAAUUGCUGUAGUCACUAUUUCUGCUUCACUUGCAUUAUGGAAUGGUCAAAAGUAGAGUCCCGUUGCCCUUUGUGCAAGCAGAGGUUUAAGACAAUAACUAAGAAUGGAAGAGUCGGUGUGGGAGUUGAUCUAAGAAAUGUGGUGAUACAAGUCCCCAAGCGGGAUCAGGUC